AACGAACGCUGGCGGCAGGCUUAACACAUGCAAGUCGAACGGUUGUAGCAAUACAGCAGUGGCAGACGGGUGAGUAACACGUGGGAACCUUCCUAGGGGUACGGAACAACUCAGGGAAACUUGAGCUAAUACCGUAUACGUCCGUGAGGAGAAAGAUUUAUCGCCCUUAGACGGGCCCGCGUCGGAUUAGCUAGUUGGUGGGGUAACGGCCUACCAAGGCGACGAUCCGUAGCUGAUCUUAGAGGAUGAUCAGCCACACUGGGACUGAGACACGGCCCAGACUCCUACGGGAGGCAGCAGUGGGGAAUCUUGGACAAUGGGCGCAAGCCUGAUCCAGCCAUGCCGCGUGAAGUGAAGAAGGUCUUCGGAUUGUAAAGCUCUUUUGCCAGGGACGAUAAAUGACGGUACCUGGAGAAUAAGCCCCGGCAAAACUUCGUGCCAGC
Molecule: ribosomal RNA, 443 nt
Filed under: uncultured bacterium
Lineage: Bacteria
Description: bacterial SSU rRNA
Rfam family: Bacterial small subunit ribosomal RNA
Source: RNAcentral